GACGAACGCUGGCGGCGUGCCUAAUACAUGCAAGUAGAACGCUGAAGGAGGAGCUUGCUCUUCUGGAUGAGUUGCGAACGGGUGAGUAACGCGUAGGUAACCUGCCUGGUAGCGGGGAUAACUAUUUGAAAAGAUAGCUAAUACCGCAUAAGAGUAGAUGUUUCAUGACCUUUUCUUAAAAGGUGCAAUUGCAUCCCUAACAGAUGGACCUGCGUUGUAUUAGCUAGUUGGUGGGGUAACGGCUCACCAAGGCGACGAUACAUAGCCGACCUGAGAGGGUGAUCGGCCACACUGGGACUGAGACACGGCCCAGACUCCUACGGGAGGCAGCAGUAGGGAAUCUUCGGCAAUGGACGGAAGUCUGACCGAGCAACGCCGCGUGAGUGAAGAAGGUUUUCGGAUCGUAAAGCUCUGUUGUAAGAGAAGAACGAGUGUGAGAGUGGAAAGUUCACACUGUGACGGUAUCUUACCAGAAAGGGACGGCUAACUACGUG
This 494-nucleotide ribosomal RNA is filed under the name uncultured bacterium. RNAcentral describes it as "partial 16S ribosomal RNA". It matches the Rfam family "Bacterial small subunit ribosomal RNA", at positions 28 to 507 of the family's 1533-position model. The record is from RNAcentral.